RNAcentral lists this transfer RNA (73 nucleotides) under Stegodyphus mimosarum. It matches the Rfam family "tRNA". From Rfam's summary of the family: Transfer RNA (tRNA) molecules are approximately 80 nucleotides in length. Their secondary structure includes four short double-helical elements and three loops (D, anti-codon, and T loops). Lineage: Eukaryota; Metazoa; Arthropoda; Arachnida; Araneae; Eresidae. The record is from Rfam by way of RNAcentral.
GCCUUCGUGGUGUAGUGGUCAGCACACUCGACGCGUAACCGAAAGGUCCGGGGUUCGAUUCCCACCGAAGACG